GUGCCAGCAGCCGCGGUAAUACGAACCGUGCAAACGUUGUUCGGAAUCACUGGGCUUAAAGGGCGCGUAGGCGGUCGAUCAAGUCCGGGGUGAAAUCUUUCGGCUUAACCGGAAAAGUGCCUUGGAUACUGAUCGGCUGGAGGGAGAUAGGGGCAGCUGGAACUUCCAGUGGAGCGGUGAAAUGCGUUGAUAUUGGAAGGAACGCCGGUGGCGAAAGCGAGCUGCUGGAUCUCUUCUGACGCUGAGGCGCGAAAGCUAGGGGAGCGAACGGGAUUAGAUACCCCGGUAGUCC
RNAcentral lists this ribosomal RNA (292 nucleotides) under uncultured bacterium. RNAcentral's name for it is "partial 16S ribosomal RNA". It matches the Rfam family "Bacterial small subunit ribosomal RNA", at positions 505 to 796 of the family's 1533-position model. The record is from RNAcentral.